GGAUGCGAUCAUACCAGCACUAAAGCACCGGAUCCCAUCAGAACUCCGAAGUUAAGCGUGCUUGGGCGAGAGUAGUACUAGGAUGGGUGACCUCCUCGGAAGUCCUCGUGUUGCAUUCCC
RNAcentral lists this ribosomal RNA (120 nucleotides) under Thinopyrum intermedium. Lineage: Eukaryota; Viridiplantae; Streptophyta; Magnoliopsida; Poales; Poaceae. The record is from RNAcentral.